CUGAUUGUUCCUUUCCGUGAUUCUGAUGACGAUUUAUUAGAUGAAGUGGAUCAAAUUUUCAUGGAAAAUCCCCUGAUUUUGCCCCUGUACUAUCAUGUGGAUUCCGGAUUUGAGACUUCUUCCUCAUCAGCUCAUGGCCCUGUGUAUAUAGCUGCUUCGAAUGAACGAUCG
Long non-coding RNA from Stegodyphus dumicola, 171 nucleotides. Lineage: Eukaryota; Metazoa; Arthropoda; Arachnida; Araneae; Eresidae. The record is from RefSeq and is a predicted model, not a curated record.